GACGAACGCUGGCGGCGUGCUUAACACAUGCAAGUCGAGCGGUAAGGCCCUUUCGGGGGUACACGAGCGGCGAACGGGUGAGUAACACGUGGGUGACCUGCCCUCAGCUCUGGGAUAAGCCUGGGAAACCGGGUCUAAUACCGGAUAUGACUCCAUGACGCAUGUUGUGGGGUGGAAAGCCUUGUGCGGCUGAGGAUGGGCCCGCGGCCUAUCAGCUUGUUGGUGGGGUGAUGGCCUACCAAGGCGACGACGGGUAGCCGGCCUGAGAGGGCGACCGGCCACACUGGGACUGAGACACGGCCCAGACUCCUACGGGAGGCAGCAGUGGGGAAUCUUGCGCAAUGGGCGAAAGCCUGACGCAGCGACGCCGCGUGAGGGAUGACGGCCUCGGUGUAACGUAC
Molecule: ribosomal RNA, 401 nt
Filed under: uncultured bacterium
Lineage: Bacteria
Description: bacterial SSU rRNA
Rfam family: Bacterial small subunit ribosomal RNA
Source: RNAcentral